AAAUUGAAGAGUUUGAUCAUGGCUCAGAUUGAACGCUGGCGGCAGGCCUAACACAUGCAAGUCGAACGGUAACAGGAAGAAGCUUGCUUCUUUGCUGACGAGUGGCGGACGGGUGAGUAAUGUCUGGGAAACUGCCUGAUGGAGGGGGAUAACUACUGGAAACGGUAGCUAAUACCGCAUAACGUCGCAAGACCAAAGAGGGGGACCUUCGGGCCUCUUGCCAUCGGAUGUGCCCAGAUGGGAUUAGCUAGUAGGUGGGGUAACGGCUCACCUAGGCGACGAUCCCUAGCUGGUCUGAGAGGAUGACCAGCCACACUGGAACUGAGACACGGUCCAGACUCCUACGGGAGGCAGCAGUGGGGAAUAUUGCACAAUGGGCGCAAGCCUGAUGCAGCCAUGCCGCGUGUAUGAAGAAGGCCUUCGGGUUGUAAAGUACUUUCAGCGGGAGGAAGGAGUAAAGUUAAUACCUUUGCUCAUUGACGUUACCCGCAGAAGAAGCACCGGCUAACUCCGUGCCAGCAGCCGCGGUAAUACGGAGGGUGCAAGCGUUAAUCGGAAUUACUGGGCGUAAAGCGCACGCAGGCGGUUUGUUAAGUCAGAUGUGAAAUCCCCGGGCUCAACCUGGGAACUGCAUCUGAUACUGGCAAGCUUGAGUCUCGUAGAGGGGGGUAGAAUUCCAGGUGUAGCGGUGAAAUGCGUAGAGAUCUGGAGGAAUACCGGUGGCGAAGGCGGCCCCCUGGACGAAGACUGACGCUCAGGUGCGAAAGCGUGGGGAGCAAACAGGAUUAGAUACCCUGGUAGUCCACGCCGUAAACGAUGUCGACUUGGAGGUUGUGCCCUUGAGGCGUGGCUUCCGGAGCUAACGCGUUAAGUCGACCGCCUGGGGAGUACGGCCGCAAGGUUAAAACUCAAAUGAAUUGACGGGGGCCCGCACAAGCGGUGGAGCAUGUGGUUUAAUUCGAUGCAACGCGAAGAACCUUACCUGGUCUUGACAUCCACGGAAGUUUUCAGAGAUGAGAAUGUGCCUUCGGGAACCGUGAGACAGGUGCUGCAUGGCUGUCGUCAGCUCGUGUUGUGAAAUGUUGGGUUAAGUCCCGCAACGAGCGCAACCCUUAUCCUUUGUUGCCAGCGGUCCGGCCGGGAACUCAAAGGAGACUGCCAGUGAUAAACUGGAGGAAGGUGGGGAUGACGUCAAGUCAUCAUGGCCCUUACGACCAGGGCUACACACGUGCUACAAUGGCGCAUACAAAGAGAAGCGACCUCGCGAGAGCAAGCGGACCUCAUAAAGUGCGUCGUAGUCCGGAUUGGAGUCUGCAACUCGACUCCAUGAAGUCGGAAUCGCUAGUAAUCGUGGAUCAGAAUGCCACGGUGAAUACGUUCCCGGGCCUUGUACACACCGCCCGUCACACCAUGGGAGUGGGUUGCAAAAGAAGUAGGUAGCUUAACCUUCGGGAGGGCGCUUACCACUUUGUGAUUCAUGACUGGGGUGAAGUCGUAACAAGGUAACCGUAGGGGAACCUGCGGUUGGAUCACCUCCUUACCUUAAAGAAGC
Molecule: ribosomal RNA, 1552 nt
Filed under: Salmonella sp. HNK130
Lineage: Bacteria; Pseudomonadati; Pseudomonadota; Gammaproteobacteria; Enterobacterales; Enterobacteriaceae
Description: bacterial SSU rRNA
Rfam family: Bacterial small subunit ribosomal RNA
Source: RNAcentral